This 88-nucleotide transfer RNA is filed under the name Vigna radiata var. radiata (mung bean). RNAcentral's name for it is "tRNA tRNA-Tyr". It matches the Rfam family "tRNA". From Rfam's summary of the family: Transfer RNA (tRNA) molecules are approximately 80 nucleotides in length. Their secondary structure includes four short double-helical elements and three loops (D, anti-codon, and T loops). Further hydrogen bonds mediate the characteristic L-shaped molecular structure. tRNAs have two regions of fundamental functional importance: the anti-codon, which is responsible for specific mRNA codon recognition, and the 3' end, to which the tRNAs corresponding amino acid is attached (by aminoacyl-tRNA synthetases). tRNAs cope with the degeneracy of the genetic code in two manners: having more than one tRNA (with a specific anti-codon) for a particular amino acid; and 'wobble' base-pairing, i.e. permitting non-standard base-pairing at the 3rd anti-codon position. Lineage: Eukaryota; Viridiplantae; Streptophyta; Magnoliopsida; Fabales; Fabaceae. The record is from Rfam by way of RNAcentral.
CCGACCUUAGCUCAGUUGGUAGAGCGGAGGACUGUAGUCGUUACGAACAGAUAUCCUUAGGUCGCUGGUUCGAAUCCGGCAGGUCGGA